RNAcentral lists this ribosomal RNA (364 nucleotides) under Streptomyces sp. 1LD3. RNAcentral describes it as "partial 16S ribosomal RNA". The record is from RNAcentral. Lineage: Bacteria; Bacillati; Actinomycetota; Actinomycetes; Kitasatosporales; Streptomycetaceae.
GCCCAUUGUGCAAUAUUCCCCACUGCUGCCUCCCGUAAGAGUCUGGGCCGUGUCUCAGUCCCAGUGUGGCCGGUCGCCCUCUCAGGCCGGCUACCCGUCGUCGCCUUGGUGAGCCACUACCUCACCAACAAGCUGAUAGGCCGCGGGCUCAUCCUGCACCGCCGGAGCUUUACACCAUCCACCAUGCGAUGGACAGUCAUAUCCGGUAUUAGACCCCGUUUCCAGGGCUUGUCCCAGAGUGCAGGGCAGAUUGCCCACGUGUUACUCACCCGUUCGCCACUAAUCCCCGCCCGAAAGCGGUUCAUCGUUCGACUUGCAUGUGUUAAGCACGCCGCCAGCGUUCGUCCUGAGCCAGGAUCAAACU